Molecule: ribosomal RNA, 497 nt
Filed under: uncultured bacterium
Lineage: Bacteria
Description: partial 16S ribosomal RNA
Rfam family: Bacterial small subunit ribosomal RNA
Source: RNAcentral
GAUGAACGCUGGCGGCGUGCCUAAUACAUGCAAGUCGAGCGAACAGACGAGGAGCUUGCUCCUCUGACGUUAGCGGCGGACGGGUGAGUAACACGUGGAUAACCUACCUAUAAGACUGGGAUAACUUCGGGAAACCGGAGCUAAUACCGGAUAACAUGUUGAACCGCAUGGUUCAACAGUGAAAGACGGUCUUGCUGUCACUUAUAGAUGGAUCCGCGCCGCAUUAGCUUGUUGUUAAGGUAACGGCUUACCAAGGCAACGAUGCGUAGCCGACCUGAGAGGGUGAUCGGCCAAACUGGAACUGAGACACGGUCCAGACUCCUACGGGAGGCAGCAGUAGGGAAUCUUCCGCAAUGGGCGAAAGCCUGACGGAGCAACGCCGCGUGAGUGAAGAAGGUCUUCGGAUCGUAAAACUCUGUUAUUAGGGAAGAACAAAUGUGUAAGUAACUAUGCACGUCUUGACGGUACCUAAUCAGAAAGCCACGGCUAACUACGUG